This 458-nucleotide ribosomal RNA is filed under the name uncultured bacterium. Its description in RNAcentral is "bacterial SSU rRNA". It matches the Rfam family "Bacterial small subunit ribosomal RNA", at positions 339 to 797 of the family's 1533-position model. The record is from RNAcentral.
UUACGGGAGGCAGCAGUAAGGAAUAUUGCGCAAUGGGCGACAGCCUGACGCAGCGACGCCGCGUGGGGGAUGAAGGUCUUCGGAUUGUAAACCCCUUUCGGGAGGGAAGAGGGAAUGGGGUAACCCAUUCGGACGGUACCUCCAGAAGCAGCCACGGCUAACUUCGUGCCAGCAGCCGCGGUAAUACGAAGGUGGCAAGCGUUGUUCGGAUUCACUGGGCGUACAGGGAGCGUAGGCGGUUGGGUAAGCCCUCCGUGAAAUCUCCGGGCCUAACCCGGAAAGUGCAGAGGGGACUGCUCGGCUUGAGGACGGGAGAGGAGCGCGGAAUUCCCGGUGUAGCGGUGAAAUGCGUAGAGAUCGGGAGGAAGGCCGGUGGCGAAGGCGGCGCUCUGGAACGUUUCUGACGCUGAGGCUCGAAAGCGUGGGGAGCAAACAGGAUUAGAAACCCCAGUAGUCCC